RNAcentral lists this ribosomal RNA (253 nucleotides) under uncultured bacterium. RNAcentral's name for it is "partial 16S ribosomal RNA". It matches the Rfam family "Bacterial small subunit ribosomal RNA", at positions 524 to 776 of the family's 1533-position model. The record is from RNAcentral.
UACGAAGGGGGCUAGCGUUGCUCGGAAUUACUGGGCGUAAAGGGCGCGUAGGCGGAUACUUAAGUUAGAGGUGAAAGCCCAGGGCUCAACCCUGGAACAGCCUUUAAUACUGGGUAUCUUGAGUUCGGGAGAGGUGAGUGGAAUUCCGAGUGUAGCAGUGAAAUGUGUAGAUAUUCGGAAGAACACCAGUGGCGAAGGCAGCAGAUUGGGCCGGUAUUGACGCUCAGGCACGAAAGCAUGGGGAUCAAACAGG